RNAcentral lists this ribosomal RNA (482 nucleotides) under uncultured bacterium. RNAcentral describes it as "partial 16S ribosomal RNA". It matches the Rfam family "Bacterial small subunit ribosomal RNA", at positions 30 to 506 of the family's 1533-position model. The record is from RNAcentral.
AUUGAACGCUGGCGGCAGGCCUAACACAUGCAAGUCGAGCGGAUGAAGGGAGCUUGCUCCUGGAUUCAGCGGCGGACGGGUGAGUAAUGCCUAGGAAUCUGCCUGGUAGUGGGGGAUAACGUCCGGAAACGGGCGCUAAUACCGCAUACGUCCUGAGGGAGAAAGUGGGGGAUCUUCGGACCUCACGCUAUCAGAUGAGCCUAGGUCGGAUUAGCUAGUUGGUGGGGUAAAGGCCUACCAAGGCGACGAUCCGUAACUGGUCUGAGAGGAUGAUCAGUCACACUGGACUGAGACACGGUCCAGACUCCUACGGGAGGCAGCAGUGGGGAAUAUUGGACAAUGGGCGAAAGCCUGAUCCAGCCAUGCCGCGUGUGUGAAGAAGGUCUUCGGAUUGUAAAGCACUUUAAGUUGGGAGGAAGGGCAGUAAGUUAAUACCUUGCUGUUUUGACGUUACCAACAGAAUAAGCACCGGCUAACUUCGU